AGUGAACGCUGGCGGCGUGCCUAACACAUGCAAGUCGAACGAUGAUGGAGGAGCUUGCUCUUCCUGAUUAGUGGCGCACGGGUGAGUAUACCAUAGAUAAUGUACCCCUUAGUUUGGGAUAGCCACUGGAAACGGUGAUUAAUACCAGAUACUCCUUCUUGUCCUAAGGCAAGUCGGGAAAGUUUUUUCGCUAAGGGAUCAGUCUAUGUCCUAUCAGCUAGUUGGUGAGGUAAUGGCUCACCAAGGCUAUGACGGGUAUCUGGUUUGAGAGGAUGAUCAGACACACUGGAACUGAGACACGGUCCAGACUCCUACGGGAGGCAGCAGUGAGGAAUAUUGCACAAUGGAGGAAACUCUGAUGCAGCAACGCCGCGUGGAGGAUGACGCAUUUCGGUGUGUAAACUCCUUUUAAGAGGGAAGAUAAUGACGGUACCUCUUGAAUAAGCACCGGCUAACUCCGUGCCAGCCGCCGCAGUAA
RNAcentral lists this ribosomal RNA (478 nucleotides) under uncultured bacterium. RNAcentral's name for it is "partial 16S ribosomal RNA". It matches the Rfam family "Bacterial small subunit ribosomal RNA", at positions 29 to 523 of the family's 1533-position model. The record is from RNAcentral.